RNAcentral lists this ribosomal RNA (1372 nucleotides) under uncultured bacterium. Its description in RNAcentral is "bacterial SSU rRNA". It matches the Rfam family "Bacterial small subunit ribosomal RNA", at positions 28 to 1381 of the family's 1533-position model. The record is from RNAcentral.
GAUGAACGCUGGCGGCGUGCCUAAUACAUGCAAGUCGAGCGAACGGACGAGAAGCUUGCUUCUCUGAUGUUAGCGGCGGACGGGUGAGUAACACGUGGAUAACCUACCUAUAAGACUGGGAUAACUUCGGGAAACCGGAGCUAAUACCGGAUAAUAUUUUGAACCGCAUGGUUCAAAAGUGAAAGACGGUCUUGCUGUCACUUAUAGAUGGAUCCGCGCUGCAUUAGCUAGUUGGUAAGGUAACGGCUUACCAAGGCAACAAUGCAUAGCCGACCUGAGAGGGUGAUCGGCCACACUGGAACUGAGACACGGUCCAGACUCCUACGGGAGGCAGCAGUAGGGAAUCUUCCGCAAUGGGCGAAAGCCUGACGGAGCAACGCCGCGUGAGUGAUGAAGGUCUUCGGAUCGUAAAACUCUGUUAUUAGGGAAGAACAUAUGUGUAAGUAACUGUGCACAUCUUGACGGUACCUAAUCAGAAAGCCACGGCUAACUACGUGCCAGCAGCCGCGGUAAUACGUAGGUGGCAAGCGUUAUCCGGAAUUAUUGGGCGUAAAGCGCGCGUAGGCGGUUUUUUAAGUCUGAUGUGAAAGCCCACGGCUCAACCGUGGAGGGUCAUUGGAAACUGGAAAACUUGAGUGCAGAAGAGGAAAGUGGAAUUCCAUGUGUAGCGGUGAAAUGCGCAGAGAUAUGGAGGAACACCAGUGGCGAAGGCGACUUUCUGGUCUGUAACUGACGCUGAUGUGCGAAAGCGUGGGGAUCAAACAGGAUUAGAUACCCUGGUAGUCCACGCCGUAAACGAUGAGUGCUAAGUGUUAGGGGGUUUCCGCCCCUUAGUGCUGCAGCUAACGCAUUAAGCACUCCGCCUGGGGAGUACGACCGCAAGGUUGAAACUCAAAGGAAUUGACGGGGACCCGCACAAGCGGUGGAGCAUGUGGUUUAAUUCGAAGCAACGCGAAGAACCUUACCAAAUCUUGACAUCCUUUGACAACUCUAGAGAUAGAGCUUUCCCCUUCGGGGGACAAAGUGACAGGUGGUGCAUGGUUGUCGUCAGCUCGUGUCGUGAGAUGUUGGGUUAAGUCCCGCAACGAGCGCAACCCUUAAGCUUAGUUGCCAUCAUUAAGUUGGGCACUCUAAGUUGACUGCCGGUGACAAACCGGAGGAAGGUGGGGAUGACGUCAAAUCAUCAUGCCCCUUAUGAUUUGGGCUACACACGUGCUACAAUGGACAAUACAAAGGGCAGCGAAACCGCGAGGUCAAGCAAAUCCCAUAAAGUUGUUCUCAGUUCGGAUUGUAGUCUGCAACUCGACUACAUGAAGCUGGAAUCGCUAGUAAUCGUAGAUCAGCAUGCUACGGUGAAUACGUUCCCGGGUCU